This 255-nucleotide ribosomal RNA is filed under the name uncultured bacterium. RNAcentral's name for it is "partial 16S ribosomal RNA". It matches the Rfam family "Bacterial small subunit ribosomal RNA", at positions 793 to 1055 of the family's 1533-position model. The record is from RNAcentral.
GUCCACGCCGUAAACGAUGGAUACUAGCUGUUGGGAGUAAUCUCAGUGGUUAAGCGAAAGUGAUAAGUAUCCCACCUGGGGAGUACGUUCGCAAGAAUGAAACUCAAAGGAAUUGACGGGGGCCCGCACAAGCGGUGGAGCAUGUGGUUUAAUUCGAUGAUACGCGAGGAACCUUACCAAGGCUUAAAUGUAGUUUGACAGAUUUGGAAACAGAUUUUUCUUCGGACAAAUUACAAGGUGCUGCAUGGUUGUCGU